RNAcentral lists this transfer RNA (90 nucleotides) under Devosia enhydra. Its description in RNAcentral is "tRNA_Ser_CGA". It matches the Rfam family "tRNA". Rfam says of the family: Transfer RNA (tRNA) molecules are approximately 80 nucleotides in length. The record is from RNAcentral. Lineage: Bacteria; Pseudomonadati; Pseudomonadota; Alphaproteobacteria; Hyphomicrobiales; Devosiaceae. RNAcentral also lists the same sequence under 13 other names.
GGAGAGGUGGCAGAGUGGUCGAAUGCACCGCACUCGAAAUGCGGCGUGGGGGCAACUCCACCGGGGGUUCGAAUCCCUCCCUCUCCGCCA